CAGUCGCCGCGGUAAUACGUAGGUCCCGAGCGUUGUCCGGAUUUAUUGGGCGUAAAGCGAGCGCAGGCGGUUAGAUAAGUCUGAUGUGAAAGCCCCCGGCUCAACCGGGGAGGGUCAUUGGAAACUGGGAAACUUGAGUGCAGAAGAGGAGAGUGGAAUUCCAUGUGUAGCGGUGAGAUGCGCAGAGAUAUGGAGGAACACCAGUGGCGAAGGCGACUUUCUGGUCUGUAACUGACGCUGAUGUGCGAAAGCGUGGGGAUCAAACAGGAUUAGAUACCCCAGUAGUCCCUGUCUCUUAUAC
This 301-nucleotide ribosomal RNA is filed under the name uncultured bacterium. Its description in RNAcentral is "partial 16S ribosomal RNA". It matches the Rfam family "Bacterial small subunit ribosomal RNA", at positions 509 to 807 of the family's 1533-position model. The record is from RNAcentral.